Molecule: ribosomal RNA, 648 nt
Filed under: Limosilactobacillus mucosae
Lineage: Bacteria; Bacillati; Bacillota; Bacilli; Lactobacillales; Lactobacillaceae
Description: bacterial SSU rRNA
Rfam family: Bacterial small subunit ribosomal RNA
Source: RNAcentral
UGAUUGAACGUGCUUGCACGGACUUGACGUUGGUUUACCAGCGAGUGGCGGACGGGUGAGUAACACGUAGGUAACCUGCCCCAAAGCGGGGGAUAACAUUUGGAAACAGAUGCUAAUACCGCAUAACAAUUUGAAUCGCAUGAUUCAAAUUUAAAAGAUGGCUUCGGCUAUCACUUUGGGAUGGACCUGCGGCGCAUUAGCUUGUUGGUAGGGUAACGGCCUACCAAGGCUGUGAUGCGUAGCCGAGUUGAGAGACUGAUCGGCCACAAUGGAACUGAGACACGGUCCAUACUCCUACGGGAGGCAGCAGUAGGGAAUCUUCCACAAUGGGCGCAAGCCUGAUGGAGCAACACCGCGUGAGUGAAGAAGGGUUUCGGCUCGUAAAGCUCUGUUGUUAGAGAAGAACGUGCGUGAGAGCAACUGUUCACGCAGUGACGGUAUCUAACCAGAAAGUCACGGCUAACUACGUGCCAGCAGCCGCGGUAAUACGUAGGUGGCAAGCGUUAUCCGGAUUUAUUGGGCGUAAAGCGAGCGCAGGCGGUUUGAUAAGUCUGAUGUGAAAGCCUUUGGCUUAACCAAAGAAGUGCAUCGGAAACUGUCAGACUUGAGUGCAGAAGAGGACAGUGGAACUCCAUGGUGUAACCGGGU